UUUUAUGGAGAGUUUGAUCCUGGCUCAGGAUGAACGCUGGCGGCGUGCCUAAUACAUGCAAGUCGAGCGAACAGAUAAGGAGCUUGCUCCUUUGACGUUAGCGGCGGACGGGUGAGUAACACGUGGGUAACCU
This 133-nucleotide ribosomal RNA is filed under the name Staphylococcus sp. EGD-HP3. Its description in RNAcentral is "partial 16S ribosomal RNA". It matches the Rfam family "Bacterial small subunit ribosomal RNA", at positions 1 to 127 of the family's 1533-position model. Lineage: Bacteria; Bacillati; Bacillota; Bacilli; Caryophanales; Staphylococcaceae. The record is from RNAcentral.